Molecule: ribosomal RNA, 457 nt
Filed under: Bohadschia argus
Lineage: Eukaryota; Metazoa; Echinodermata; Holothuroidea; Aspidochirotida; Holothuriidae
Description: partial 16S ribosomal RNA
Rfam family: Bacterial large subunit ribosomal RNA
Source: RNAcentral
GCAAAGGUAGCAUAAUCAUUUGUCUUUUAAAUGGAGACUCGUAUGAACGGCAAAACCUUCUCCAACUGUCUCCCCCGCUAUCCUUAGAAACUCUUAUCUAGGUGAAGAAACCUAGAUAGCCUAGAAAGACGAGAAGACCCUGUCGAGCUUCAGUCCGAAAAGAUUAAACAAUAAAGAAUGCUACAAGCACCAAGACAAUAAUCCUAGAAGACUUUGGUUGGGGCAACCAUGGAGAAAAACAAUACUCCAGUACGCGCAGAAGACGUCACGUCACCGCACAAGAACAAAAUGAGAACCAGAAACUGGCAAUCGGAAAAAGUUACCGCAGGGAUAACAGCGUAAUCCUCUCUAAGAGUCCUUAUUGACGAGAGGGUUUGCGACCUCGAUGUUGGAUUGGGACCUCCAUAGGGUGCAGAAGCUCUAAAGGGUUGGACUGUUCGUCCAUUAAAGUCCUACA